CCUACGGGAGGCAGCAGUGGGGAAUAUUGCACAAUGGGCGAAAGCCUGAUGCAGCAACGCCGCGUGAGCGAUGAAGGCCUUCGGGACGUAAAGCUCUGUCCUCAAGGAAGAUAAUGACGGUACUUGAGGAGGAAGCCCCGGCUAACUACGUGCCAGCAGCCGCGGUAAUACGUAGGGGGCGAGCGUUAUCCGGAAUUACUGGGCGUAAAUGGCGAUUAGGUUGUUUCUUAAGUCAGAUGAGAACGGGUACGGCUCAAACAUAGUAAGCCUUUGAAACUGGGAAACUUGAGUGCAGGAGUUGAGAGUGGAAUUCCUAGUGGAGCUGUGAAAUGCGUAGAUAUUAGGAGGAACACCAGUUGCGAAGGCGGCUCUCUGGACUGUAACUGACACUGAGGCACGAAAGCGUGGGGAGCAAACAGGAUUAGAUACCCCUGUAGUC
RNAcentral lists this ribosomal RNA (439 nucleotides) under uncultured bacterium. RNAcentral's name for it is "partial 16S ribosomal RNA". It matches the Rfam family "Bacterial small subunit ribosomal RNA", at positions 338 to 795 of the family's 1533-position model. The record is from RNAcentral.